GAUGAAGAACGUAGUGAAAUGCGAUACGUAAUGUGAAUUGCAGAAUUCAGUGAAUCAUCGAGUCUUUGAACGCACAUUGCGCCCCCUGGUAUUCCGGGGGCAUGCCUGUCCGAGCGUCAUUGCUGCCCUCAAGCACGGCUUGUGUGUUGGGCCUCCGUCCUCCUCCCGGGGGACGGGCCCGAAAGGUAGCGGCGGCACCGCGUCCGGUCCUCGAGCGUAUGGGGCUUCGUCACCCGCUCUUGUAGGCCCGGCCGGCGCUUGCCGACACAUCAAUCUUUUUUCCAGGUUGACCUCGGAUCAGGUAGGGAUACCCGCUGAACUUAAGCAUAUCAAUAAGCGGAGGA
RNAcentral lists this unclassified non-coding RNA (344 nucleotides) under soil metagenome. RNAcentral describes it as "partial contains 5.8S ribosomal RNA, internal transcribed spacer 2, and large subunit ribosomal RNA". The stretch from base 1 to 119 matches the Rfam family "5.8S ribosomal RNA", at positions 35 to 154 of the family's 154-position model. The record is from RNAcentral.